Molecule: transfer RNA, 65 nt
Filed under: Alviniconcha sp. Al-Pm-28
Lineage: Eukaryota; Metazoa; Mollusca; Gastropoda; Provannidae
Description: tRNA-Val
Rfam family: tRNA
About the family: Transfer RNA (tRNA) molecules are approximately 80 nucleotides in length.
Source: RNAcentral
AAAAUGUAGCAUAAUAUAAUGCAUUUCACUUACACUGAAAAAAUACUUGUUAAAAGUCGUUUUUA